RNAcentral lists this ribosomal RNA (254 nucleotides) under uncultured bacterium. RNAcentral describes it as "partial 16S ribosomal RNA". It matches the Rfam family "Bacterial small subunit ribosomal RNA", at positions 524 to 776 of the family's 1533-position model. The record is from RNAcentral.
UACGGGGGGAGCAAGCGUUGUUCGGAUUUACUGGGCGUAAAGGGCGCGUAGGCGGCCACCGCAAGUCGGUUGUGAAAUCUCUGGGCUUAACCCAGAAAGGUCAACCGAUACUGCGGGGCUAGAGUGCAGAAGGGGCAACUGGAAUUCUCGGUGUGGCGGUGAAAUGCGUAGAUAUCGAGAGGAACACCUGCGGCGAAGGCGGGUUGCUGGGCUGACACUGACGCUGAAGCGCGAAAGCUAGGGGAGCGAACGGG